AAUAAACGCAUCCAUAAGUUUUCGUAUCUAACUUUGAUCAUCCGUCUUAUUUAAAUUUUUUUAUAAAUAAUAUUUUUAUGAAUUAUAAAACAUGAAUAGAACUUUAUGCGUAACUAAUUUUUUUAUUUUUUUUAAAAAAAAUAAGACGGAUGAUUAAAAUUAGAUACAGAAACUCAUGGCUGGGUUUAUU
Oryza sativa Indica Group (long-grained rice) is the source of this 190-nucleotide microRNA precursor. It matches the Rfam family "MIR812 microRNA precursor family". Lineage: Eukaryota; Viridiplantae; Streptophyta; Magnoliopsida; Poales; Poaceae. The record is from Rfam.